RNAcentral lists this ribosomal RNA (506 nucleotides) under Ischnochiton australis. Its description in RNAcentral is "partial 16S ribosomal RNA". It matches the Rfam family "Bacterial large subunit ribosomal RNA", at positions 1817 to 2600 of the family's 2925-position model. Lineage: Eukaryota; Metazoa; Mollusca; Polyplacophora; Chitonida; Ischnochitonidae. The record is from RNAcentral.
CGCUCUUUGUAAUAUAAAAAUAGAGAGUCGUGCCUGCCCAGUGAAUUUUUUUAACGGCCGCAGUACCCUGACUGUGCUAAGGUAGCAUAAUCAUUUGCCUUUUAAUUAAAGGCUAGAAUGAAUGGCUUGACGAGAAUUUUUCUGUCUCUAAUAUAUUAAAUAGAAAUUAAUUUUAAAGUGCAGAAGCUUUAAUUAUAACGAAAGACGAAAAGACCCUAUCGAGCUUAAAAGUAAAAUUAAAUGAAUUUUUAUAGAAAAAUAAUUUUUAAUUAUUUUUUUUUGUUGGGGUGACAGAAGAACCAAAAAAGCUUCUUUUAAUUUUUAAAACUAAUUGGUUUUAUAGAACUAUAGUAAUAAAAGUAAGAUAAGUUACCGUAGGGAUAACAGCGUUAUUUUUCUGGAGAGUUCUUAUUGAAGGAAAAGUUUGCGACCUCGAUGUUGGAUUAGAAUUCCUUAAAGGUGCAGAAACUUUUAAAGGUGGUCUGUUCGACCAUUAAUUUUCUACA